This 253-nucleotide ribosomal RNA is filed under the name uncultured bacterium. Its description in RNAcentral is "partial 16S ribosomal RNA". It matches the Rfam family "Bacterial small subunit ribosomal RNA", at positions 524 to 776 of the family's 1533-position model. The record is from RNAcentral.
UACGUAGGGCGCAAGCGUUGUCCGGAAUUAUUGGGCGUAAAGAGCUCGUAGGCGGCUUGUCACGUCGGGUGUGAAAGCCCGGGGCUUAACCCCGGGUCUGCAUUCGAUACGGGCUAGCUAGAGUGUGGUAGGGGAGAUCGGAAUUCCUGGUGUAGCGGUGAAAUGCGCAGAUAUCAGGAGGAACACCGGUGGCGAAGGCGGUUCUCUGGGCAUGACCUGACGCUGAGGAGCGAAAGUGUGGGGAGCGAACAGG